GUGCUUGUUUUGGCAGCAUAUAUACCAAAAUUGGAAUGAUACAAAGAAGAUUAGAAUGGCCCUUGCACAAGGAUGACACGCAAAUUUGUGAAGCAUUCCAUAAACUG
Molecule: small nuclear RNA, 107 nt
Organism: Suncus etruscus (white-toothed pygmy shrew)
Lineage: Eukaryota; Metazoa; Chordata; Mammalia; Eulipotyphla; Soricidae
Source: RefSeq, a predicted model, not a curated record